UUGAAAUCUAGACUCCAUUUAGUUUCAAUUGUAUUUGUGAAUGGAAGCAGAACAAUACGAGAUCUGUACAAAACACUUUUGUUAAUAUUAGUCAUAGGUGGUUCGGUGUCACCUUUCUAUCUGUAAUCUUUAAAUCUGUGACGCGUAAACGACUUGCUUUAUAUGGAUGCUUGAUCAACUUCCAAAUUAAAUUGCUAUUUUAUAAUAGUGUACGUGUAUGCACUAUAAAUGGCAUUCGUAAAGUUUGCAGUAGCAGCUAUCAUGGCUGCGUUGGCUUACGAUCGGUUUUUACCUAAACAUAAAAGUGCUGGAAGUAUUGACGUGCGAUUGGAUGGUGAAUACGAUUAUAUUGUGGUUGGAGGAGGCUCCGCAGGUUAAGCGGUCGCCGCAAGAUUGUCCGAGGACCCUACCAACAAGGUUCUACUUAUCGAAGCAGGUGGGGACUAUGAUGAGAGCGAGUUGCCGCAUAUUGGAUUCAGCUCUGGUUCUCUCAGUAUGACUGGGUUUAACAGUUCCCCAAAAGCACGCCGCUAAGUCUAUGAAUGAUAACAAGAUUUUCUGGUCACGGGGCAAAGUGCUUGGAGGUACAGGGAUCUUGAAUGGCAUGAUGUAAUCACGGGGAAGCCGCUUUGAUUAUGAGGAAUGGAAGCAAACGGGUUGCGACGGUUGGGGUUACAGAGAUGUACUGCCCUACUUCCUAAAAUCGGAGGACAACCAGAUUACACAAUUGGAAGGCUCGCCUUUUCAUAAUACCGGGGGCCUUCUAGCCGUAAACUUCGGCCCUGAAACUGAGAUGACAGCAGUUUAUAAUCAAAGCACUGAAAGUGCUGAGGGACGGUGCCUCUGGUGUAUGUGCAGAAAAAUAUACAGGGAGAGCUGCCUGGUUUCAAAAUCGUGUCGUUGUUAUCAACUAUUGACAGUUUGGUUAUUUCAAGAGCCAACUUUAGUCAUGCAUGAAUAUUUUUUAUGAAUGCAUGUUAAGCAAGCGAUCACUUCGUACGAAGUUGCAUACGGAGAUUUCUGCGACCGUUUUAUUAACGCUUUCGUACGUAAUUACUCUUCAAAAUGGGGAAGGAUCGGACGAAAAUGUAAACAAACCGUAGAUGCAAUCUUUUGAAAGAAAAGCUCAGUCAUCUGGGAUGCAGUGUUGCAGCACUGAAAAGCAUGGGGUGCCCAUCAAAGAGUGUUUCUCUUUGCCUGCAAUCAGGAUACAUCAACUGACCUUUGAACUGUGUUUACCAACUUGGGAUUCAAACACAUGCCCUCUUGGGUAGGAGAAAGUCAGACAAACACCUGUGGCUAUAUCACUAUACUUCUUCAAGUCUUGCUCUAUGAGUGAUCAUGAUGUGAAAUAAAACAAAAUGCAGUCAUCUUUUUGUUAUAUUAAAUAAGUUAUGAACAAAUAAAAUAUU
Molecule: long non-coding RNA, 1412 nt
Organism: Mya arenaria
Lineage: Eukaryota; Metazoa; Mollusca; Bivalvia; Myida; Myidae
Exons: 3
Source: RefSeq, a predicted model, not a curated record